CGAAGCUCGGAACCAAUGUUUGAAGUCUGAAGUCUGAAGUCUGAAGUCCGAAGUCUGAAGUCCGAAGUCUGAAGUCUGAAGUCUGAAGUCUGAAGUCCGAAGUCUGAAGUCUGAAGUCUGAAGUCUGAAGUCCGAAGUCUGAAGUCUGAAGUCCGAAGUCUGAAGUCUGAAGUCUGAAGUCCGAAGUCCGAAGUCUGAAGUCUGA
Non-coding RNA from Paramuricea clavata, 205 nucleotides. Lineage: Eukaryota; Metazoa; Cnidaria; Anthozoa; Malacalcyonacea; Plexauridae. The record is from the annotation of a GenBank genome assembly.